Molecule: unclassified non-coding RNA, 399 nt
Filed under: soil metagenome
Description: partial contains 5.8S ribosomal RNA, internal transcribed spacer 2, and large subunit ribosomal RNA
Rfam family: 5.8S ribosomal RNA (bases 1-120)
Source: RNAcentral
GAUGAAGAACGCAGCGAAAUGCGAUACUUGGUGUGAAUUGCAGAAUCCCGUGAACCAUCGAGUCUUUGAACGCAAGUUGCGCCCGAAGCCUCGGCUAAGGGCACGUCUGCCUGGGCGUCACGCAUCGCGUCUCCCCCAAACCGCCAAGGCGGAGGGGAAGGAAGAUGGCUUCCCGUGCCUCACCCGGCGCGGUUGGCCUAAAUUUGGAGCCCGCGGCACUUAGCUCUCGCGGCGAUAGGUGGUGAACAAGGCCUUGGCCGUGCAAACAACCCGCUGCGAAGCUCUAUGUCACGUGCGCUCGUCGGACCCUUUGAAGUUGCCUUCGGUGACUUAAAACCUUUGCGACCCCAGGUCAGGCGGGGCUACCCGCUGAAUUUAAGCAUAUCAAUAAGCGGACGA